Molecule: ribosomal RNA, 253 nt
Filed under: uncultured bacterium
Lineage: Bacteria
Description: partial 16S ribosomal RNA
Rfam family: Bacterial small subunit ribosomal RNA
Source: RNAcentral
UACGUAGGGGGCAAGCGUUGUCCGGAAUUAUUGGGCGUAAAGGGCGUGUAGGCGGUAUAAUAAGUCAGAUGUGAAAGUUCGGGGCUUAACCCCGGAAUUGCAUUUGAAACUGUAAUACUUGAGUACUGGAGAGGUAAGUGGAAUUCCUAGUGUAGCGGUGAAAUGCGUAGAUAUUAGGAGGAACACCAGUGGCGAAGGCGGUUCUCUGGGCAUUACCUGACGCUGAGGAGCGAAAGUGGGGGGAGCGAACAGG